Molecule: long non-coding RNA, 442 nt
Organism: Xenia sp. Carnegie-2017
Lineage: Eukaryota; Metazoa; Cnidaria; Anthozoa; Malacalcyonacea; Xeniidae
Exons: 4
Source: RefSeq, a predicted model, not a curated record
AUCAAAAUAAAUGUUUAUAUUGCUGCUAAACCAAACGUGAUAAUUGAAUGUUCAACACCUCUGGUUGUGAGUAAAGGUGAUAAUGUGUCAUGUGUAUGUAGAGGUGAAGGAGGUAACCCUCCUGCUAAUGUCACAUGGUUUAAUAAAAAUAACAACAUAAUUGGUGAUGUUGGAGUUGUAAAUAAGACAUUAGUAAUCACUAAUGCUACAGUGAAUGAUGGUGGAAAUUACACAUGUAAAGCACAAAGUUUUAAUGAUCCAAGGUUUAGAGAUGAGAAAUCCAUUGAAAUAACAGUGACACCUAUAUAUCCCCACAACAAACCAAUAUCACCAUCAGUCCGAUAUCAGUUAGAAAAGGUCAAAAUGUGACAAUAACCUGUGAAUCAGAUGGUUAUCCUGAACCAACCUACACUAUUUAUCAUAAUGGUGCAGUUAUCAGUAA